Molecule: ribosomal RNA, 490 nt
Filed under: uncultured bacterium
Lineage: Bacteria
Description: partial 16S ribosomal RNA
Rfam family: Bacterial small subunit ribosomal RNA
Source: RNAcentral
GAUGAACGCUAGCGAUAGGCUUAACACAUGCAAGUCGAGGGGUAACGUGUUGGAAGCUUGCUUCCGAUGACGACGACCGGCGGAUGGGUGCGUAACGCGUAUGCAACUUGCCUCACAGUGGAGAAUAACCCGGAGAAAUCCGGACUAAUGUUCCAUACACUCUUAAGUACUCCUGUACAUGAGAGGAAAGAUUUAUCGCUGUGAGAUAGGCAUGCGUCCUAUUAGGUAGUUGGUGAGGUAACGGCUCACCAAGCCGACGAUAGGUAGGGGUGCUGAGAGGCAGAUCCCCAACAUGGGAACUGAGACACGGCCCAAACUCCUACGGGAGGAAGGAGGGGGAAAUAUUGGUAAAUGGAGGAAACUCUGAACCAGCCAAGUCGCGGGAAGGAAGAAUGUCCUAAGGUUUGUAAACUUUUUUAGCGGGCGAGUAAGGACUUCCACGUGAUGGGGUUUUGAAAGUAGCUCGAGAAUAAGUAUCGGCUAACCCCGU